This 800-nucleotide long non-coding RNA is filed under the name Olea europaea subsp. europaea. Lineage: Eukaryota; Viridiplantae; Streptophyta; Magnoliopsida; Lamiales; Oleaceae. The record is from RNAcentral.
UUCAGAAUUCCCAAGUUUUUCUCCAUCUCUCACUUCUCUCCCCUUUCUCGCACAUCAUCGUUGAGAUAUCGCUGGCACCAUGCUGCUCACGACGUUGACACCGCACCACAAUACUGAAGAUGCUACCAUCGCAACGACGUCACUCUGAAGUUCUGGUCAUUUUUGGGCACCAAGGAAUUGAAAAUGGCCUGUAGAUCUGGUAUCCAUUCUCUCCAUCGGUGGGUAGUUCUGGUCAUUUUUAGGCAUCAGUGAAUCAAAUGGUGGUGGUCGUUUAAUCCCUAAUUUGUAUGGUAGAAAUGGUGGUUGUGGUGGUGACUGAUGGUAUCAUGGUGAUGAUAGUGGUUGUUGUGGCGACGAAUUGUGGUGGUGACUAAUGGUGGUGGUGGUUGUGAUCGUUGUGGUGACUGAUGGUGAUGGUGGUGGUGCUGCAACGACAAUGGUGCAAUUCUUUGGAUCCAGUUUUGUUGGGUAGUUGUCGUGCUGAGGUGAUGGUGGUGGUGUCGUUUAAUCCCUAAUUUGUGUGGUGGUGACUGAUGGUGAUGGUGGUCAUUGUAGUGGCUAAUGGUGAUGUCGUGAUGGUGGUGGUCACUGCGACAACGAUGGUGGCGACGAGGCUCUGGUGGCUGCGAUGCUCUGUUGUGGUGAUGAAUCUGUUGGUGUGUCGUGGUGUUGACAGGUUGUCAUGAGGUGGUGGUGGCGGUAAUAGUGAUAGUGAUGGUGGUUGUAGUGGUCGUAGCGAUGGUUGUGGGUGGAAUGAAAUGGGUUGGAUGUUUGUGAUCAAUUAUUUGGUUGAUUGUGAC